GAUAGAGAUCUCACCCAUGCCUCAAACGAUCUCAGAUCAACUCCAGAUCUGAGAGAAACAUGUAUCAACCUCUUCUCAAGAUAUUUCAGGUCUUAAACCUGAUGCUUGGGUGGCUCCAAGAGAGGGAGAGAAAAAAAUGGCUGGCGGCUGCAAGAGAGGAGGGGCUAGCGCCUCCUUUGCUUUUCUUUCCUUUUUGGGCCUGG
This 203-nucleotide long non-coding RNA is filed under the name Elaeis guineensis (African oil palm). Its description in RNAcentral is "long non-coding RNA (EGUI_LNC044172)". Lineage: Eukaryota; Viridiplantae; Streptophyta; Magnoliopsida; Arecales; Arecaceae. The record is from RNAcentral.